AAAUAAUAUAUGUGACAUGAAAGUUCAUGGAUGCUUUGAGGCUAAAAUAAUUUUCAGAUGCACAUUAUCGACAAAAACCUUCGAAAUGAGCGAGCGUAUAUGUUUCUAUCAAUUUCACUGAUGUUGACGCCGUCUUGCGAUCAAGAUUUCGACAGCGACCGUCCUCUCGAAACCAACGAACCA
This is a long non-coding RNA of Mya arenaria, 183 nucleotides long. RefSeq lists it as uncharacterized. NCBI's taxonomy places the organism in Eukaryota, Metazoa, Mollusca, Bivalvia, Myida, Myidae. The record is from RefSeq and is a predicted model, not a curated record. The transcript has 3 exons.